This 253-nucleotide ribosomal RNA is filed under the name uncultured bacterium. RNAcentral's name for it is "partial 16S ribosomal RNA". It matches the Rfam family "Bacterial small subunit ribosomal RNA", at positions 524 to 776 of the family's 1533-position model. The record is from RNAcentral.
UACGAAGGGGGCUAGCGUUGCUCGGAAUUACUGGGCGUAAAGGGCGCGUAGGCGGACAGUUUAGUCAGAGGUGAAAGCCCAGGGCUCAACCCUGGAAUUGCCUUUGAUACUGGCUGUCUUGAGUACGGGAGAGGUGUGUGGAACUCCGAGUGUAGAGGUGAAAUUCGUAGAUAUUCGGAAGAACACCAGUGGCGAAGGCGACACACUGGCCCGUUACUGACGCUGAGGUGCGAAAGCGUGGGGAGCAAACAGG